Molecule: non-coding RNA, 73 nt
Organism: Phrynosoma platyrhinos (Desert horned lizard)
Lineage: Eukaryota; Metazoa; Chordata; Lepidosauria; Squamata; Phrynosomatidae
Source: the annotation of a GenBank genome assembly
AACAGGGUAGGCACAGUGGUUUAAGAGUUGGACUAUGACUCUGGAGGCCAGGGUUCAAAUCCCAGCUCAGUCA